RNAcentral lists this ribosomal RNA (472 nucleotides) under uncultured bacterium. RNAcentral's name for it is "SSU rRNA". It matches the Rfam family "Bacterial small subunit ribosomal RNA", at positions 26 to 518 of the family's 1533-position model. The record is from RNAcentral.
AGGACGAACGCUGGCGGCGUGCUUAACACAUGCAAGUCGAGCGGAAAGGCCCUUCGGGGUACUCGAGCGGCGAACGGGUGAGUAACACGUGAGCAACCUGCCCUUAGCUCUGGGAUAGCUCCGGGAAACCGGAAUUAAUACCGGAUAUGACCUAGGCCGACAUCGGCCGUGGUGGAAAGUUUUUCGGCUAGGGAUGGACUCGCGGCCUAUCAGCUAGUUGGUGGGGUAAUGGCCUACCAAGGCGACGACGGGUAGCCGGCCUGAGAGGGCGACCGGCCACACUGGGACUGAGACACGGCCCAGACUCCUACGGGAGGCAGCAGUGGGAAUCUUGCGCAAUGGGCGAAAGCCUGACGCAGCGACGCCGCGUGGGGGAUGAAGGCCUUCGGGUUGUAACCCCUUUCAGCAGGGACGAAGCGAAAGUGACGGUACCUGCAGAAGAAGCGCCGGCUAACUACGCGCCAGCAGCCGC